This is a non-coding RNA of Lepisosteus oculatus (spotted gar), 857 nucleotides long. The record is from RefSeq and is a predicted model, not a curated record. Lineage: Eukaryota; Metazoa; Chordata; Actinopteri; Semionotiformes; Lepisosteidae.
AAUCCUCCUGCCGCUCUGUAAGUGAAAGUGAAAAUAGUCCUUUACUGCGAUAAAGACGGUGUCAGAAGUCAAGUGAGCAGGUCGCUUUUCAAAUCUAAUUAUAAAAAGGCAUCAGACAAUCUUAUUUUCUUUCUGAACAAUAGAAAGUGGAGCUCAGACCGGUAUGAUCAGAGUAUCCAGCCUUUGAAUGGCGUUUCUCUCUCUCAGAACCACAUCUCUCAACACUGCAAAGACAAAAACUUCGCUCUGAAUCUGGACUGUAAUUAAUACUGUAAACAUCCUGUUAGUAUAAAAACAGAGAUGGAGUCUGACCAGUCACAGUGGCUCUUUUUGACUCUGCUGUUUCUCCACCAGUCCUGUGUCUCACGAUCAGAGUGGUUUCAGGUUCAUGGUCCAGCUGUUCCUGUGUUUGUUUUCCCUGGUGAAGAUGCUGUCCUGCCCUGUUACCUCUCACCAGACAUCAGUGCUGAAGACCUACAGAUCAGGUGGUUUAGAGAGGAUUACUAUAACCCUGUUUGUUUGUUUGAAUUGGGCUUCUAUAACUUACGUGUACAGAACCCAGCCUACAGGGACAGGGCUGGUCUAUUCCUGGAGAAGCUCCACAGAGGCAAUGUGUCUUUAACACUGAGAGAUGUGAGACGCUCUGACCGUGGACAGUACACAUGCAUGGUGCUGUCUGACAUGAUGGAGGAUAACACUGUUAUUGAGCUGGUUGUUAGAGCCCUGGGCUCCCAGCCCUCAGUGUCUCUCCACUCCCCUGGAGGAGAUCAGGCCCAGCUGCUGUGCAGAUCAGAGGGCUGGUUCCCUCAACCUGCAGUGAUCUGGACAGACAGGGAUGGAAACGAGGUGACAUCACA